This 478-nucleotide long non-coding RNA is filed under the name Medicago truncatula (barrel medic). RNAcentral describes it as "lncRNA gene23165". Lineage: Eukaryota; Viridiplantae; Streptophyta; Magnoliopsida; Fabales; Fabaceae. The record is from RNAcentral.
AUUCCUCACACUUGAUAUGUCUCCCAUAUAUAUAUAUAUAAUUUUUUUUAUCAAGGUAGCUAUAAAUAUACAAGAAUAUUGUUGUUUUUGAUACGAGAGAAACAUAAAUCAAUAUAUAAAAAAAGAGAAACAUUACUCAAACUUUGAGGUAAAUUAUAAAAAUACAAAUACUAUGACAUACAUAUGAAAUUAUAUAAUUAUUUGAUAAACUCCACACAAAGGCCAUGGAUGAACCUCAUAUAAAUAGCGGAUCAGUUCUGAUAAACUCCACACAAAGGCUGUGAAUGCACCUCAUAAGAAUAGCAGGACACUCAUUUGGACAUUGAUCAUCAGAAUAACAGCCAUGAUACACAACUGCAAUGUCAUAUAAGCAAAAAGAAUGUCACUAAAAGGUGAUAAUAUUUUGAUAAUAAAAUAAAUUAGAAAAUGGUGUGACAUACUACGGUCAUUUGUUAAAGCAAGAAAUGGAGAAAGAAAG